The sequence is a ribosomal RNA, 523 nucleotides long. The stretch from base 153 to 306 matches the Rfam family "5.8S ribosomal RNA".
UCCCACCCGUGUUUACUGUACCUUAGUUGCUUCGGCGGGCCCGCCAUUCAUGGCCGCCGGGGGCUCUCAGCCCCGGGCCCGCGCCCGCCGGAGACACCACGAACUCUGUCUGAUCUAGUGAAGUCUGAGUUGAUUGUAUCGCAAUCAGUUAAAACUUUCAACAAUGGAUCUCUUGGUUCCGGCAUCGAUGAAGAACGCAGCGAAAUGCGAUAACUAGUGUGAAUUGCAGAAUUCCGUGAAUCAUCGAGUCUUUGAACGCACAUUGCGCCCCCUGGUAUUCCGGGGGGCAUGCCUGUCCGAGCGUCAUUGCUGCCCAUCAAGCACGGCUUGUGUGUUGGGUCGUCGUCCCCUCUCCGGGGGGGACGGGCCCCAAAGGCAGCGGCGGCACCGCGUCCGAUCCUCGAGCGUAUGGGGCUUUGUCACCCGCUCUGUAGGCCCGGCCGGCGCUUGCCGAACGCAAAUCAAUCUUUUUCCAGGUUGACCUCGGAUCAGGUAGGGAUACCCGCUGAACUUAAGCAUAUCA